ACACGCAUGACACACUGCAUAUCAAUAAGCGGAGGAAAAGAAACUAACAAGGAUUCCCCUAGUAACGGCGAGUGAAGCGGGAAGAGCUCAAAUUUGAAAUCUUAAAGGGUUUCCCUUUACGAAUUGUAGUUUAAAGAAGUGUUUUCUGUUGGAGUUUCGGUAAAAGUUCUUUGGAAUAGGACAUCAUAGAGGGUGAGAAUCCCGUAUUUGACCGUUACUUUCCAGCUGUGUGAUACACUUUCAAAGAGUCGGAUUGUUUGGGAAUGCAGUCCAAGAUGGGUGGUAAAUUUCAUCUAAAGCUAAAUAUUGGCGAGAGACCGAUAGCGAACAAGUACCGUGAGGGAAAGAUGAAAAGAACUUUGAAAAGAGAGUUAAACAGUACGUGAAAUUGUCAAAAGGGAAGCGUUUGACACCAGUGUUGUUUUUCCGAAAAUCAAUUAUGAAUGGCUCGAUUUUAAGUUUCAUGACCUUAAAAGCUUGUUUCUUAUUUUUCAUGUCUUUCGUAAUGCACUUUUCGGUUAACAAGUCAACAUCAAUUUCUUUUGUUGUAAAAGGUUAAGAGGAAGGUGGCUUUACUUUCGGGUAAAGUGUUUAUAGCCUUUUAACUCUGCAAUCGGAGAGAUUGAGGUCUGCAGCGUAGAUCCUUCGGGGUUAGAUACAGUUUGUGCUAAGCUAUAGCCUUUUCAUAGACAACUUGUUGACUAUGAUCAGUCAUGUACUUACUCGCAGUAUGCUAUUUUACCUACGCUUAGGAUGUUGAAGUCAUCGUAUCGCGC
RNAcentral lists this ribosomal RNA (776 nucleotides) under uncultured Neocallimastigales. Its description in RNAcentral is "partial large subunit ribosomal RNA". It matches the Rfam family "Eukaryotic large subunit ribosomal RNA", at positions 23 to 645 of the family's 3401-position model. Lineage: Eukaryota; Fungi; Neocallimastigomycota; Neocallimastigomycetes; Neocallimastigales. The record is from RNAcentral.